This is a long non-coding RNA of Oncorhynchus kisutch (coho salmon), 352 nucleotides long. RefSeq lists it as uncharacterized. The transcript has 3 exons. NCBI's taxonomy places the organism in Eukaryota, Metazoa, Chordata, Actinopteri, Salmoniformes, Salmonidae. The record is from RefSeq and is a predicted model, not a curated record.
GUAAUGCUGUUGGACUCACCUGCUCAGAGCCUGAUGAUGUGAGGCUGGUGGGAGGAGGCAGUCGCUGUGCUGGUGGAGUGGAGCGGUACGACCAGGGAGAGUGGAGGAUUGUGGGAUCAACCUCUGGCUUGAAGGCUGUAGCUGCAGUAGUGUGUAGACAGCUGGGUUGUGGCUCCACUGUUUCAGAACUACUUGGAAACACCACUAGAGGGAUUAGAGUUUCCUGUUCUGGGUUUGAGUCUUCACUGAGGGAGUGUUCCAGAAGUUAUUAUCUCCGCCCUGGACUCACAGUGAUCUGCUCAGAUCUCCUGGUCCAGCCUGAUAUCUUCCUGACUGACCCAAUGGGAGGGGU